UCUCUCUGUCUCUCCCUGUCUCUGUCUCUGUCUCUGUCUCUCCCUGUGUCUGUUUGUCUGUCUGUCUCUUUCUCUCUCUCUCUCUCCUCUCUGCCUUAAGUCUAUUCCUCAGUUGUGUAUUUUCCCCCUUGGACGACAUGUAGACACAAAAUCUCUGAUCUGUGCUUGAAGCUCUUUGCAAGUAUCUAAAAUUUGAAAGUCUGAUACUGCUUGCUGUCAAGUUAAAUGAAAUAAUGCAUUGAAAGCUUUUGAGCAACAGCACAAAACAACCAAUCAAUAAGCAGUGCUGUAACCAGCAUUAAUGUGGCUCAGGUUGACAGUGUAUGCAGGGCACUGAAGUACUGAAAAGGGAAUAAAACCACGGGGAACUUCUUAAAACUCUAAGAUGAAUCAGCGAAUUCUUACAAAUAGCUGUGUUUGUUGCUGUUCCCUCUGGUGCCUAAGAAAAUGAUAUUUUGAACUAGGAACUCUAUCUCUAGUUGUCUGGUAACAAUGAAAAAUAAAUUGUCCAAAAAUAAAGUGUCCAGAAAGGAAAUAAUUCCUAGGCUUCAGGAUAGAUUUACCUUCUUAAUUUUCCUACCUUUACUUACAACUCAAUGUACACAUUCAUGGUGUACAUCAUUUUAAGCACAUUUUUCAAGAGACAGUGUACAUAACAUUCCUAUCACAUAGUAGUAGCUGCUCAAUAAAUUAUGACUAAAGAGAGUGGCAUAGGGAAAUAACCAGAAACAUUAUGAGUUCAAAUAAGCAAAAGUGAUCACAACUUUAUUAGGCAACCCAGCAUUUAAACUCACUGGCUCAGGAAUCAGAGAAGCCAGUACUAAGAAAGCCUGUUAAUCUUUCCAGGAUUCAGGUUCCUCAUAUAUAAAAGAAAUAAUCCUAGUAUAUUAUUAAAAAGCUGGGAGACAUGACUAGAAUAAUAACUGACCUUUAGUGGAUGACUACUUUCCUAUAGGCAUGGUUCUAAAUGCUCAGAUUCUCAGAGAGUUCCCCUUAAGAGUAGGAAUUCUCAAUUGAGGAUCCCAUAUUUUGCAGCUGGAUCCAGUAUUCUUUGCCUACAGAUAUUUUUCUAAGUGCAUACCUAGAGCUUUUACAUUUGCAGAGAGGUCUGAAUCUCAAGAAUAGUUAGGAGUCACUGCCUUCCAGACUUAGCCAGAGGUUUUGAAGUCAAAAGACUUGUUAGAGAUCAGGUAGUGCAAGCCUCAGUUCCCAAACAUCUUGCAAGAAUAUCACCCACAGGCUGCCAAGGACAUAGAUCACUCCUGAAAAUUUCGGUGCAGGACAGUAGAAUGGUUUCCUCUAGGGCUUCCUGCCUACUAGGAAGCCAGGGAAACAACCCAUCCAACCUUCUCUUUUUAAAGGUGAGGAAAGCAGCCAGGACAGACAAAGAACCUUCCAUUCCACAUCUGACUAGGCACCUCUGUCCCUGUAAGUCAGGCUGUGAUCUCACCUGAUCACAGAAAGAUUGGCUGAAGAACCACCAAAUGCCAAAAGGAAAGUAAAACCUCAUGGCUUGGGAUGCCUUUUGUCAAAUGAACCCACAUUUUCAUCUGAUGUGUCACAAGAUGCCUAUUUCUGUUCAAUGUAUUAUGUACCAAAGACAAAUUACAAGACGUAGCCUGUCAUAAAUGCCAGAAUUAAACCUGCCACACAGACAUCACCGGUAAUUGCCUGAGCAGAUUAUCGCUUCCCUUCCACUUUGUCCCACUGGUGCUUCAGCUCUGUUCUUCCAAGGCAGAGCCCCAGCACAGUUCAGAGCUUGAAGGAACAAGAAACCUGCAGAAAGACUUGAAAGAACUUUACAUGCAGCCCUACCAUGCUGUAGAACUGUGCUCUGAACUGAUAUGUGCUUAAAUUUCUGCUUUCACAGGACUGCUUCCCCAUUUUAAACAAACAGGCUUCAGCCUAAAUAUUCAUCCGCCAUGUCUGUAGCUUACUGCGUAAGUCACUUUUAACAAGCUAAUAUCUGGAAAUCACAUCUCCCAAUUUCUUGGAGAAUAGUUUCAAGAAAGAACAUCUCACUGUUUGCUGUAUCCAUAUUAACCAUUUGGCACCUAUCCUUUCCAUUUUUAAUUGAUUAAGGCAAAGAGGCACACUGUCUGGUUCUCUCAUGCAAUUAGCCAAACCAAAGCAACAAAAAUAAGGGUGCUUCAUAUCCAUAUCAUGCGCAGUCAUAUGAUUCUACUGAGCCAAGUAGGAAAGACCCCUUGUUGAGGAACUUAAUUUAAAAAAACAAAAACAAAAACCCUGUGUGCUGCCACUGGUUGUUACUCAAAGGCUUCACACAGGUGUCUUCCCAUCAAAUUUCAGACCUGUACCUUAAUCCUGAGAAUCAAUGGGUUAAACAGGAAUAUGCAUGUCCCAGCCUCUCUCAAAAAGAUGCCAAUAAUCCUUCAACAUAUACAGGAUUUCAAAUCAUUAGAUAAAGAUGCCAAUACUCUGCAGUCUACCAUCAAAGUAAGUGACUCUCCCAAGCAGAAAGAAAUUCAGAAAUUCAACUUAUAGUCUGCUGACCUUUAAUUUAAUCAUACUUUUAAAAAGUUAAUGAUACUUUUUAAAAUCUGUAGCUAUCUGUUCUGAGUUGAAGAAACAAAUGUCAAUUUUUUUUUUCCGUUCUCAAUGGAAAGAAAUUUAAAACAUAUAUUCAUGUAAAGUAGAAGAAAAAACCAGGAGAGUUGAUUUUGUUCAUGUUGCACACAGGAGCUGCUGCUUGUCUGAGGCCUGAAAAAAGCUCAUCCCAACCCAAGCAUUCUGACAUUUUAAAUGAGAGAACAUGAGGAUGACUCAAAUAAGAAAAUAUGGACCAGCCAAAGUUUAAUUGAGUUUUAUUGUCCACUUUUUUAUAUCUCAAUUAUACAACAUGCAGUCUGCCGAGUAUCCAUACAUCUUCAUUUUAGAGCCUAGAAGAUAACCAAAAUUUUCCACAGGCCAGGGGAGGGUUAUUUUCAGGUCUUUUAUGACACACACUAUGGUAUCACAUUGUUACUUGAUACAAACUGCCAUUCUCCCCCAAAAACCACCAAAACAAGUUUGUCCACAAUUUUUUUCUUUAAAAUGAAAACUACUGUACAGAUACAUAAAACCCAGAGAACACACAUCUGCAGUACACAGGACACACUUUACAAACCAGACAUAUAUAAUUCUACAGAAUGCCCUAUUCCCCUUAAAUCUGCAAA
Cavia porcellus (domestic guinea pig) is the source of this 3176-nucleotide long non-coding RNA. RefSeq lists it as uncharacterized. The record is from RefSeq and is a predicted model, not a curated record. The transcript is spliced from 2 exons. Lineage: Eukaryota; Metazoa; Chordata; Mammalia; Rodentia; Caviidae.